AUUGAACGCUGGCGGCAGGCCUAACACAUGCAAGUCGAACGGUAACAGGAAGCAGCUUGCUGCUUUGCUGACGAGUGGCGGACGGGUGAGUAAUGUCUGGGAAACUGCCUGAUGGAGGGGGAUAGCUACUGGAAACGGUAGCUAAUACCGCAUAACGUCGCAAGACCAAAGAGGGGGACCUUCGGGCCUCUUGCCAUCGGAUGUGCCAGAUGGGAUUAGCUAGUAGGUGGGGUAACGGCUCACCUAGGCGACGAUCCCUAGCUGGUCUGAGAGGAUGACCAGCCACACUGGAACUGAGACACGGUCCAGACUCCUACGGGAGGCAGCAGUGGGGAAUAUUGCACAAUGGGCGCAAGCCUGAUGCAGCCAUGCCGCGUGUAUGAAGAAGGCCUUCGGGUUGUAAAGUACUUUCAGCGGGGAGGAAGGGAGUAAAGUUAAUACCUUUGCUCAUUGACGUUACCCGCAGAAGAAGCACCGGCUAACUCCGUG
RNAcentral lists this ribosomal RNA (489 nucleotides) under uncultured bacterium. RNAcentral describes it as "partial 16S ribosomal RNA". It matches the Rfam family "Bacterial small subunit ribosomal RNA", at positions 30 to 507 of the family's 1533-position model. The record is from RNAcentral.